RNAcentral lists this ribosomal RNA (253 nucleotides) under uncultured bacterium. Its description in RNAcentral is "partial 16S ribosomal RNA". It matches the Rfam family "Bacterial small subunit ribosomal RNA", at positions 524 to 776 of the family's 1533-position model. The record is from RNAcentral.
UACAGAGGUCCCGAGCGUUGUUCGGAUUCAUUGGGCGUAAAGGGUGCGUAGGCGGCGGGGCAAGGCUGAUGUGAAAUCCUAGGGCUCAACCCUAGAACUGCAUUGGAUACUGCCUUGCUAGAGUACUGGAGAGGGAACUGGAAUUUACGGUGUAGCAGUGAAAUGCGUAGAUAUCGUGAGGAACACCAGAGGCGAAGGCGGCUACCUGGACAAUUGCUGACGCUCAGGCACGAAAGCGUGGGGAGCAAAAGGG